GAGGGUGCUCUACAAACCUUAGAGAACAUCUGAAUUAAAAUAUAACAUCCUCAUUCUGCUAAGGAAAUUUCAGCUCUCUUAGAGUUGCUAAAGCAUCUUGUCCAUGUCUUCUCUUGGAGAGUACCUAAAAAAAGUGCAUAUGUAUAUGCAAUAGAAACGUGAGUAAUUUGUUGUGGGGGUUACAUAUGCGAUAAGAGUUUUUCUUGAAGUUUUUUUCAACGUUUUUGUCCUUUAUGGUGCUUUGCCGUCAAAGUAAGAUCCUUGUAGUACACUUAUUACAGUAAACGUUUUGUGAUCACGGCAGAUUGAAUGCGCAUGUGUACAUGAGCAACUGUACCACAACGAUGAGAAACGUAAGUUACAAAGGGCAAUCAUGAUGCGCAUGUUUUUCAUUUUCUUUUUGCGCUUGUUUUUCUGUUUUUCUCUUAUUUUGUUUUUGCUUGUACUUUUUUACUUGUAAGGAUCAGGUUUGAAAAAGAGUAGGGAAAAUAGCGUUGUUUGGUUUUAAAGUGUCGACGCGCCGCACACCCCCCACCCAAAUGUUCGUGGAACACCCCCUUCCGUAAGAUAGCCGACUUUGUUAGCGCGAGAUGGCAAAACGCCAUUACAACCAGGCUGGAGAGAUAUAGCAGUGCGAUAGAAUUCUUCGUUCUUGUAGGUUCUUGUAGCUUUCUUCAAUUCAGGGUUAGCCAUGAGAGGAAUUCUCGCGCGUUUUGCCCUCACGUGCUAACAAACUCAAGUUAUUAUUAUUUGUAAAAAUGCCUGAUGGCUGACUACCUAACUACCUAUAAAUUUCACGCCAGGAGGUACGAAGAGGGAGGUAUAUGGGCUAUAUAGGUAUAUGCGGCCCCAAAGAGUAUAUGAUUUUUUAGCGAACAUUGUCACGACACCAACUCGCGCGGGUGACGCGCGAGAUGAGUGAACGUUCCCAGCAUUCUCUGCAACAACAGUUCGUCCAUGUUGUUGAACCGCGAAAGUUGAACGAGGCUGAAAAAAGGCAGACUAAAAGGGAAGAUCUGCGCUUGGAGCUGGAGAGCUCAGUUAGCGGGCGAUUGAACUCGGAUUGCAGCUGAAGACAAAAUACCUGAGGACAAGACAGGAGGAGGAUAUUAGCCACAAUUUUAUUCUAGAAUGAUGUUUUUUUUUUGUUUUUUUUGUUCUUUUUUGCAAUCCAGGACCAGGUAAACACUUGUGCUCUUAUGCAAUGAUCAAAUCAAAACUUAACCUGGUUCCUUCAGGGGAAUCCCCCAAAGGGCAUCCCUUCAAGGUACGCAAGUCAUCAAAUUCUACAGCAGGAAAACAAUUAAAAUGUACCACUUUUUUUUCUUUUUUUAAUUAAUGCACUAUUAUUAUAGGAUCCAAAAUAGUCAGGGAAAUUUUUGUUUUUCAAAAUCAGGAAAAGUUCAGGGAAUAAAUUAAAAAAUGGGAAGGUUCCCUUUUGUACUGUUCCUUUGAAAAAAAACAAUAACUAGACCAAACUACUGAACUCCAUUCGAAUUAAAACCUAUAGUACAACACACUUUCAAUGCUAAUUACAAUGUAAGAACAGACACUACUCAACUUAUACCAACAACUACUCACCCCUACAGAAGUCACUAUGGUAAUUCUUGACCUCAACAGAACUCACAUGAUGUCCUUCAACCAGCCUCAACACAAACUUCACCAAAAGUAAACCAGUUGAAUCAAACCAGAACUGAUCAGUCACUACUAAUAAUAUGCACCUUUUCAUAGCGGCAUCAGUGCUUUCACGCUAGACAGACUACAUAAUGAUACUUGUGCACUUUUUUUUGUGGUUGGCAACUUGACAGUUGUUCCUUUGUGCACCUCAGAAUGAGACGUACUGUUAUGACUUCCUCAAUCCCCCCACCCCCCCUCCCUGUCACUCCCCAACCUUGUCAUGAUUCACUGUUAUUUCCCAGGGUUCCCCAGGUUAAGGGUUAGUUUUGAUUUGAUCAUUGCAUUCCUUGAUGUAAACCACGUUCUGCUUUUAAUUUUGAAAUACCGCAGACAUGUAAAUGAUUUAAAAUGUUUUCAUUGACUCAGUAAAUAAAUUAGUUUUAAAGUGGAUAACAUUUCAUUUGAUUAUAUUUUAUGUUUUUACUGUAUUUCCUCCUUGAAACCCCUGUUGGACUUCCUGAUUUUUGCCCAUACAUGUAUGUGAGAAGGGGAAGCUCAUUGGAAGAAGGGCAUAAUAGUAAAUCAAAUAUCAAAACUGCAAUUUGUAGGUUGAACAGGAGAUUUGGAAAGACUUCCUUAUUAGAAUGGAGACUUGAUAUAAUCAAUACUGGCAAUUCAAAGUUCUGGGAUUGUACAAAACAAUCAGAUGAUCUGUAUAAAUUUAUUGUUGACACCACCAGGAAAUUCUGUCCUUUUUGACCUCAAAUGGAAGGGCUUAGAAAUUUAAGGCUGAAAGAUUGCUGAGCUGCUGUUUCACUGCUACUCUGUAAUAUGAUCACCCACCAUAUAGAUCAAAACAGGAAAAAGAAAGAGAUUGGGGCUAAUUAUAAGGGAUACUGGAUAGAAGGAGUUGAAAGGAAAUUCUGACUAAAAUUCAUCAUUUAACACCCCCUCCCCCUUCCUUCUCC
This 2585-nucleotide long non-coding RNA is filed under the name Orbicella faveolata. RNAcentral describes it as "uncharacterized LOC110064338, transcript variant X2". The record is from RNAcentral. Lineage: Eukaryota; Metazoa; Cnidaria; Anthozoa; Scleractinia; Merulinidae.